UGGGGAAUAUUGGACAAUGGGCGAAAGCCUGAUCCAGCAAUGCCGCGUGGGUGAAGAAGGUUUUCGGAUUGUAAAGCCCUUUCGGCGGGGACGAUGAUGACGGUACCCGCAGAAGAAGCUCCGGCUAACUUCGUGCCAGCAGCCGCGGUAAUACGAAGGGGGCUAGCGUUGCUCGGAAUGACUGGGCGUAAAGGGCGCGUAGGCGGUUCGUACAGUCAGAUGUGAAAUUCCUGGGCUUAACCUGGGGGCUGCAUUUGAUACGUGCGGGCUUGAGUGGGGAAGAGGGUCGUGGAAUUCCCAGUGUAGAGGUGAAAUUCGUAGAUAUUGGGAAGAACACCGGUGGCGAAGGCGGCGACCUGGUCCUUGACUGACGCUGAGGCGCGAAAGCGUGGGGAGCAAACA
This 402-nucleotide ribosomal RNA is filed under the name uncultured bacterium. RNAcentral's name for it is "bacterial SSU rRNA". It matches the Rfam family "Bacterial small subunit ribosomal RNA", at positions 355 to 774 of the family's 1533-position model. The record is from RNAcentral.